CGSACAGAGMCCCGUGAAUCCUGGCUGAUGAAUUCAGAAUCGAUCGGAACGACGUUUAGAACGUGUUCGGUCGGUUUGAUUUUUUAUCUGCCGCUAAUUUGAACGGACGUCGCGACCCGUUGAGUGUUGCGCUUGUUUCAAGAAACGAAGUGAUAGUUCUUGAAUGGUCGGCCAUCGUUAGAUCGGUCGGUUUUUCCGGAGCCUUUGUUUUUAUUCUGACGAACUGGCUCGACGGUAAAAUUAACGGUAACCGAAAAAUUGUGAAAUUUAUUUCGGAACCGGUCUGCGACGAUUCUUCGGGCCUCUUUCCGACCCGUCUUGAAACACGGACCAAGGAGUCUAACGUGUGCGCGAGUCACGGGGUUUCGCCGACCGAUUUUUCAUUUUCCGAUGAAAGAUAAGCGUCGGCGUUAUGUAAACGAAACCCGAUUGAAGGCGUAAUGAAAGUGAAAUGUUUUUAACGCGUUGUUUGUUUACACAUUAUUAUUUUGGUAAUGUGUUGCGCGCGCGUUUUUAACAAUCGGGAAGAUGACGUCUCGAGUACACCUUUUCGGUCGUAUUUAUUUAUGUAUCGAGACCGAGCGUCCGCAUUCCUGGGGCGUCUUGCGAGCUCGAUGUCAUGUCGGUUUAUUUUGUACACGGUCGUCGUUUCGGCGGCGAUCGCGAUACUCGAUACAAUUGUAGGCGUCGAUCUGAGGCGCACUCUUAGCGUACACGUUGGUACCCGAAAGAUGGUGAACUAUGCCUGGCUAGGAUGAAGUCAGGGGAAACCCUGAUGGAGGUCCGCAGGGAUUCUGACGUGCAAAUCGAUCCUCA
Molecule: ribosomal RNA, 816 nt
Filed under: Laurencella sp. CMU-2007
Lineage: Eukaryota; Metazoa; Arthropoda; Insecta; Hemiptera; Monophlebidae
Description: partial 28S ribosomal RNA
Rfam family: Eukaryotic large subunit ribosomal RNA
Source: RNAcentral